Long non-coding RNA from Cyprinodon variegatus (sheepshead minnow), 1033 nucleotides. RefSeq lists it as uncharacterized. The record is from RefSeq and is a predicted model, not a curated record. The transcript has 3 exons. NCBI's taxonomy places the organism in Eukaryota, Metazoa, Chordata, Actinopteri, Cyprinodontiformes, Cyprinodontidae.
GCAUUACUGUUUCACUUCUCUCCUAUUCUUGCCUGCUUGGAACCAUCGGCUGGUUUAAUAUUCUCAUUUGAUCUAAAUCAUCCUUUUUUCAUUUUCUUUCAGAAUGUACCAAACAACCAAACUACAGCUGGAAAGCCGUGUGCCUUACCUGCUAACUUCAUCCACGGACUCAAACUUCAGCCAUGCUACACUGAGUCCAAAAUCGAUCAAAUCCAGACACACAUGGAUCAUUUGGAAAAUAGAAUGGAAGUAGCUGGAAAGUGUUCGGAGCUGAUGGAAAUCUAUUGCUCAAAGAGCGCAAACUCUGGUCCCAUCGCUUCCCUGGAUGUCUUCCAAGCCAAGAUGAAAGUCGUGCUGGAGCAGUACAUGGCUAGGUUAUUAAGCUAAGGAACCGGACCAGUCUGGACCCGUAAUCCAGAGAGGAAGCACACCUGGAGCUUCUCCAUCCUGCUAAUCUUUAAAAAUGUGGACGCUUGCUGCAGGGCCUCUAUAUGUUUUAUUAUAUCAGUGAAAGACACUUAAGAAGGUUUUCUUUUGAUUUUUUUUUCCUCCUGGACACUUUUAAAAUGAUCUUUCAGACUAACAGUUAAAAUCCUUUUUCUAUCUGGUUCUAACCAUCAGUCCAGUUUCCCCAUUAUUCAUUCAGUCAGAACCAAUUUGGACGGAAAGGUUCUGAUCCAACAACUAAUCUCAGAAUCGGUCUAAAAUUGAUCAGUGCUCUAUUCUACUAAACCAGGAUUGUGUUGCUUCAAAAAGCUAAAGUUUGUCAAACACUAUGUGUCUAUAAAACAGUACAAAUGUAACAUGGAAUUAAUGAAGUUGAUUAUGAUUUAUUUUAUGAUUUAAUUUUACUUAUUAUUUAUAUUAUUUAUGAUUAAUUUAUCAGCUCAGUGUAGAAUCAUAUUGACUUGUUUACCUUUGUUUGGUUUUGUUUAUUUAUAUUUGUUAAACAUGUAUGAUUUAAUCAUGUGUCUGAAUGUCAACAUCAUACUGAUGUUUUGAGACAAAGAUCCCAUUCUAUGUCAGAUUUAAC